AUGCUAGUUCAUGGCAACCAAACAGGCUUCAUUUCUGGUAGAAACAUCGCCGAAAACUUUGUCUUCGCAGCUGAUCUCAUUAGCUCUUGCCACUCUCGCAAAAAAACUACCAUGGCAAUCAAGUUAGAUUUCCGGAAAGCCUUCGACUCGGUCGCAUGGCCUGCGCUACAAAAAAAUUUGGCAGUACGGGGCUUCUCCUCCACCUUUCGUCGGUGGAUCCAAAACAUCCUCCGCACCGGCAAAAUGGCCAUUCUUCUUAACGGGGUCCCGGGAAACUAGAUCCAAUGCAAAAAUGGCUUGCGGCAGGGCGACCCAGUCUCCCCCUACCUCUUUCUCGUUGUUGCUGACCUCCUUCAGCAACUCAUCAUCCAAGACUCAGACCCCGCUCUACACCACCCCAUCUUCUCCCAUCUACCCCCCACUAUCCUCCAAUACGCCGAUGACACGCUCAUCGUAGCCGCUGCCUCUACGGCGGCCGCCUCUACCCUAAAAACCAUCCUCACUGCCUUCGCUCUUGCCACCAGCCUCACCAUCAACUUCGAUAAAACUACCUUAGCCACCCUACACACCGACGACUCCACGACUAAUAACAUUGCCUUCGCCCUGGGAUGCUCUUGCGCCUCCUUCCCGCAAACUUAUCUAGGUCUCCCUCUCGCCCCCACCAGACACCUCAAUAAUAUCUUCAAUCCUCUACUAGAACGUGCUAGGAAACUACUCUCUGGCUGGCGUGCUAAGCUCCUUGAUAAAGGUGAUCGGCUUAUUCUCAUCUCCUCCGUCCUAGACUCAAUCCUUGUUUACUUCAUGUCUGUGUUCCGCAUACCAAAGAAAACAAUUAAUAACUCUGGACUCGCUGCGGAGAGCUUUUUUUGGGCAGGAGAGGACGCUUGCUCAGGUGCCCAAUGUCUUAUUGCUUGGAAAAAUGUUUGUUUACCAAAAAAUACGGUGGCUUAG
RNAcentral lists this ribosomal RNA (951 nucleotides) under Triticum aestivum (bread wheat). RNAcentral describes it as "partial small subunit ribosomal RNA". Lineage: Eukaryota; Viridiplantae; Streptophyta; Magnoliopsida; Poales; Poaceae. The record is from RNAcentral.